GAGGGGAAGACCUACUGGGGUGAUUGGCCAAAAAUGUGGAGACCUCAGGAUAUGGCACAGGAAGUGAUCUUGGUCCUUGCAUGACAUUGCAUACGGACCUGCAGCAGCCUCAUAGUCUUUCAUGGCUUACAGCAUCCCCUGGCUCUGAUAUGCAUGGGAACAGAAUCACCAAGUUCUAUCCUGAUAUCAAAACUGAAUCACCAGCUACUAGACUAGACCACAGAACAGGUGCUUUUCGGUGUGAUUUGCAGGAAAUUCUCCCACCAGAGACCCGUGUUAUGCCUGGCAUACAGGAGGCAUUCAGAACAUUUGAUGACUAG
RNAcentral lists this long non-coding RNA (320 nucleotides) under Canis lupus familiaris (dog). Its description in RNAcentral is "lncRNA (ENSCAFG00845028299.1)". Lineage: Eukaryota; Metazoa; Chordata; Mammalia; Carnivora; Canidae. The record is from RNAcentral.